AUACGCAUUGCGCUUGCAUAGCCAGUUGCUUGUUGCUGUUUAGCUCAGGCGGCAGCUAGUUCGUAACCAAAGCUAAAGCUAAAGUUAACCUAUGUGCCAGUGGGUAAGCCUGGCUUUAGCCAGUUUCGUAUAAGCAUACAUAGUUUUAGUUUAAGAAACGGCACAAAAACGUCAGUCAUUGAUUAGUUUUUGAAUUAAAUUGCCUUGUUGCAAUGGCAGUCAUAAUACUUGGCACUUACCUUGAAUACCUGACGGCAAAGGAAAUUCUCUUUAACCGGAAGUAGUCUGUAAUAAAUAAGUUGGUCGUUUUGUCUUUGACAAGCACUUUGGCAUUGCUCUACUUACUUGGCCAUUUCCGAGAGCUGCAAACGACCAUCCUUAUUGGCAUCAAACACUUGGAGCUGCGGUUUGAGUACAAAAAGAGAGAGAGGGAGAGAGAGAGAGAAAGAUGGUUGGCGCCUCUUGGGACCACGUAUAGCAGCCCCUAAAAUGAACACAUACUCGUAAAUCGACUUAAAUAAGUUACCAAAUGCUUUUUUGGCAUGACUUUUGCUUCUCUUAAAUAAAAGUAGGACUAAAUGUUGGCUUGAAAUGUAUUUCAUUUCCUAGAAUACAAAAUAUGUUUUUAAUGGUGCCUCAGUUAAGCAAUGCAUUCUCUAGGGCUGUGUUUUGUUAGAAAUUAACAUCAAGUAUCAUUUAGUUAACGGAAUGCUAAUAUUUUAAAGCCACGUAACUUGCCAAGGCGAACAAAUUUUCACAUUUUAAUUUGACUACCGGAUAUACUACCUGGUAAAUUCUUAUGAGUAGUUAAGCAAAUAACAUAUGAAAUUAUUGCUCGAUUCGAGACGAUUAUAUUUAAAAUAAAUUCUGCUAAAUUCUUGUAAGUAGCGUAAGUAGUCUAGAUUGUAGCUUGAUUUAAUACUCUUAGCCAAUUAAAUAUGCAUUUAACUGCAAGAUAAACUACCUGGUAAAU
This is a non-coding RNA of Drosophila virilis, 973 nucleotides long. NCBI's taxonomy places the organism in Eukaryota, Metazoa, Arthropoda, Insecta, Diptera, Drosophilidae. The record is from RefSeq and is a predicted model, not a curated record.